GUCAGCCAGGGCAACCAAGUGAGACCCUGUUUUUAAAAACAACCGCCGAUCGUGGUAGUGCAUGCCUUUAAUCCCAGCACUUGGGAGGCAGAAAUCAGAGGAUUUCUGAGUUCGAGGCCAGCCUGGUCUACAAAGUGAGUUCCAGGACAGCCAGGGCUAUACAGAGAAACACUGUCUCGAAAAACCCAAAUAAAUAAAUAAAUAAAUAAAUAAAUAAAUAAAUAAAUAAAAACAACCCUCCCCCCCCAACCUGUAAUUUUAUUGUUUGUAUGUGGGCAUGAUGUAUUCGUGGGCUUGAUGUGUAUGCGUGGGCGUGGUGUAUGUGGGCAUGUGUGCCAAAGCACAUGGAUCAGGUCACAGUUUCUUUAUAUGAAUCUAGGGCUCAAUCUCAGGUCAUCGAGACUGUGGCAUGUGCUUUAUCCACUGACUAUCUUGUCCUACCUGUGUGCCUGGUACCCACAGAGUCCAAAAGAGAGCGUCAGAUCCCCUGGGACUGGAGUUACAGAUGGCUGUGAGCUGAGCCGCCACCACAAGGGCUGGGACUCCAGCCCAUAUGUACUUUGUAGUGGUCGCUGUUGUUCAUUUUUUAGGUUUAUUUUAUGUGUAUGGGCUUUCUGCCUGCAUAUAUGUAUUCGUACCACGUACAUACCUGCUUAGUGUCCAAAGAGGCCAGCAGAGGGCAUCGGCUCCCCCUGGAACUAUAGUUAGACUGUUGUGCCAGCGGGUAGGUGCUGGGAACCAAGCCUGGGAACCAAGCCGCUCUAUGCAAGAGCAGUAAGUACUUUAUUUUAAAACAAGGUCUCGCCGGGCGUGGUGGCGCAUGCCUUUAAUCCCAGCACGCGGGAGGCAGAGGCAGGCGGAUUUCUGAGUUCAAGGCCAACCUGGUCUACAGAGUGAGUUCCAGGAUAGCCAGGGCUACACAGAGAAACCCUGUCUCGAAAAACCAAAAACAAACAAACAAACAAACAAACAAGGUCUCGAGGCAUAGCCUUGGUUGGCCUGGAACUCUCUAUGUAAAUCAGACUGGCCUGGAACUCUCACAGAUCUUCCUGCCUCCACCUCCAGAGUGCUGGGAUUUAAAGUGCACCACUCUUAGGCCCACCUAACUUUAACUGCUUUUUCUUCUGAUGUUCUGGUUCUCAACUGACUUUCUUUGAUAUCUUGUUAACUAUAACUCGGUCAGAAUCAUCCCGGGUUGGAAAGGUGGCGGGCGAAGCAUGUUAACCCCUCAGAGGUAGUGCACUUCCACCAGGAAUGCUGGAGGGUUCUGUAGGUAGGGAAAAGGCUGGGCAGGUGACUGAAUUGCCACACCCUCUUCACGACUGCACAUAGUUUGGUUCAAUAAAGCUAUAUUCCAAGAGGGGAGUAGCCUAUCUGUCACUGUCAAAAGUAAACUGUUUGUAGGCGAGCUAGGGUAGUCAUCCAGUGGUAGAACAUUUGUCUGGCCCUGGGUUUGUACCCUAACACUACACAUAUAAGAGGAAAAGCUACAGAGCAUGGGGACACAUGCUUGUAAACCCAGAACUGUGCAGGCAGAGGCAGGGGGGCUGUCAGAAGUCUAAGGUAAACCUGGCCUAUGUGGCAAGACGUCUCAAAACAGGCUGGGGAGAUGGCUUAGUAUACAAACAUAAGAACCUGAGUUUGGGCCAGCAUUUAGGAGGCAAAGGCAGGCAGAUCUCAGUGAGUUCAAGGCCAGCCUGGUCUACAUAGCAAGUGCCAGGCCAGCCAAGGAUUGGUAGUAAGAUCCUGUCUCCAAAAGCAAGGGUGAGGCCCCAGGAUGUGUCAGUAUGCAAAGACCGAUGACCUUCAUCUCUGGACCCGCAGGACAGAGGAGGAAAACCACGUCCUCCAAGUUGUCCUCUGACCUUCACACACACACAUACACACACAGCCUCGAGAGUGCUUACAUGCACGUGCACACACACGCACGCACGCACACACACACACUCACAGACACUAGAUAAUUGCAAUGAAAAGUAAGGGCAGACAGUUCCUGAGGAACAAUACUUGAGGUGACCUUUGGCCUCCACACACGUGCAUGCAAGGUCCACCUGCAACCACACAUGCCUACACAUGAAUGCACACAUAUACCAUAGACACAAGAGUUAAAGCAUUAAACCACAAGUCAGGACCAAUGGCAUAGGCCGGUAGUCCCAGCUACCUGGGAGGCUGAGGAAGGAUCACAAGAACAAGGCCAGUCUGGGCUACAGAGUAAGUUCAAAUCCAGCUUAGGAAACUUGACGAGACCCUCUUCUCCUUUUUUCUUUUUCCUUUUUUUCUUUCUUUCUUCCUUCCUUUCUUUCUUUCUUUCUUUCUUUCUUUCUUUCUUUCUUUCUUUCUCUCUUUUUGUUUUUUGAGACUCCUUUCUCAAAAUUAAGAGAACUAGGGAUAUAACUCAAUGAUAUAGCACUUGGCUAGCUAGCAUGCAUGAGACCCAGGG
RNAcentral lists this long non-coding RNA (2440 nucleotides) under Mus musculus (house mouse). RNAcentral's name for it is "long non-coding RNA chr10:128505456-128507896". Lineage: Eukaryota; Metazoa; Chordata; Mammalia; Rodentia; Muridae. The record is from RNAcentral.